CCUACGGGUGGCAGCAGUGAGGAAUAUUGCUCAAUGGACGAGAGUCUGAACCAGCCAAGUAGCGUGAAGGAUGACUGCCCUAUGGGUUGUAAACUUCUUUUAUAAAGGAAUAAACGAAGCACUUUUUCCUUUUUGCAUUUACCUUAUUAAUUAGGAUCCGCUAACACCGUUCCAGCAGCCGCCGUAAGACGGAGGAUGCGGGCGUUAUCCGGAUUUAUUUGGUUUAAAGGGAGCGUAGAUGGGUUGUUAAGUUAGUUGUGAAAGGUUGGGGCUCAACCGUAAAAUUGCAAUUGAUACUGGCAGUCUUGAGUACAGUUGAGGUAGGCGGAAUUCGUGGUGUAGCGGUGAAAUGCUUAGAUAUCACGAAGAACCCCGAUUGCGAAGGCAGCUUACUAAACUGUGACUGACAUUGAUGCUCGAAAGUGUGGUUAUCAAACAGGAUUAGAUACCCGGGUAGUC
This 459-nucleotide ribosomal RNA is filed under the name uncultured bacterium. RNAcentral's name for it is "partial 16S ribosomal RNA". It matches the Rfam family "Bacterial small subunit ribosomal RNA", at positions 338 to 795 of the family's 1533-position model. The record is from RNAcentral.